Molecule: ribosomal RNA, 164 nt
Filed under: uncultured bacterium
Lineage: Bacteria
Description: partial 16S ribosomal RNA
Rfam family: Bacterial small subunit ribosomal RNA
Source: RNAcentral
UAGGGAAUCUUCCACAAUGGGCGCAAGCCUGAUGGAGCAACACCGCGUGAGUGAAGAAGGGUUUCGGCUCGUAAAGCUCUGUUGUUAAAGAAGAACACGUAUGAGAGUAACUGUUCAUACGUUGACGGUAUUUAACCAGAAAGUCGCGGCUAACUACGUGCCAA